RNAcentral lists this long non-coding RNA (465 nucleotides) under Capsicum annuum. RNAcentral's name for it is "long non-coding RNA (CANN_LNC015756)". Lineage: Eukaryota; Viridiplantae; Streptophyta; Magnoliopsida; Solanales; Solanaceae. The record is from RNAcentral.
CCGGCUCAAGGCACGAGAUACCACACAAACACAUAGUAAAACACAGCACAAGAUUACAUAACAUAAAUACGGCACCCAUAAGUAAUAUAAAACAGAGGAAAGCACACAGAUUCGUAAUAAAACAUGGAACACGGACUCAUAACAGGAAUAAAACCCCCACCAAGUAAUUUCCUACACUAGCGACUCAAACUGGCCCUAGUCCUCUGCCCUAAUUCGCGUCCUCCAGACCUUCCUAUCUAGGGUCAUGUCCUCGGUGAGCUGUAACUGCUCCAUGUCCCGCCUAAUCACCUCACCCCAGUACUUCUUCGGCCUACCCCUACCCCGCCUAAAACCAUCCAACGCUAGCCUCUCACACCUACGAACCGGGGCAUCCAUGCCCCUCCUCUUCACGUGUUCGAACCAUCUCAAUCGGGCUUCCCGCAUCUUGCACUCCACUGGAGUCACACCAACCUUCUCCCGGAUAGU